UGUUAUAGCGUUUAGUCCUGUCUCUGUUGGUUUGAGUAGUUGCUCAUUUGUUUGAUCUCGCAAUGUCUUUAGGAGUGUGUUAUAUUCUUGUUGUGCUAUCCGUUUAAUGUAGGCAGCCUUGCUUAUGGCUAGGCCUCUGAGAACCGCCUUAUGUGCCUGCCACACUGUCACAGAGGAGACGUCUUGUGUGUCGUUUGUGUUGAAGAAUGAGGUGAUUUCUGAUUGCAAUGACGCUCUAAAGUCAUGGUUGUUUAGUAGGUAGUCAGGUAGAAGUGGUUUUGCCCCUGUGUAGGAAGUUAUCCGUUAGAGUUAGGUCAAUUGGGGCAUGGUCCGUCCAGAUUAUAUCUCCUAUAUGGCAGUCUUUUAUGGAGGGU
Molecule: non-coding RNA, 374 nt
Organism: Pelobates cultripes (western spadefoot toad)
Lineage: Eukaryota; Metazoa; Chordata; Amphibia; Anura; Pelobatidae
Source: the annotation of a GenBank genome assembly